CAGAGACAUUAUGUUAUUCUGAGCAUACCUGAUCUUUUCUGAUUUUGGAAGCUAAGUAGGAUUAUGGCUAGUUAGUAUUUGAAUGGGAAUGUGCCAAGAAUACCAAAGAUCUCCAG
RNAcentral lists this ribosomal RNA (116 nucleotides) under Pogona vitticeps (central bearded dragon). The record is from RNAcentral. Lineage: Eukaryota; Metazoa; Chordata; Lepidosauria; Squamata; Agamidae.